GGUCCCAUGGUCUAGUGGUUAGGACAAUGGACAUUGAAUUCGGUAACCCGAGUUCUAAUCUCGGUGGGACCU
This 72-nucleotide transfer RNA is filed under the name Morus notabilis. It matches the Rfam family "tRNA". Rfam says of the family: Transfer RNA (tRNA) molecules are approximately 80 nucleotides in length. Their secondary structure includes four short double-helical elements and three loops (D, anti-codon, and T loops). Further hydrogen bonds mediate the characteristic L-shaped molecular structure. tRNAs have two regions of fundamental functional importance: the anti-codon, which is responsible for specific mRNA codon recognition, and the 3' end, to which the tRNAs corresponding amino acid is attached (by aminoacyl-tRNA synthetases). tRNAs cope with the degeneracy of the genetic code in two manners: having more than one tRNA (with a specific anti-codon) for a particular amino acid; and 'wobble' base-pairing, i.e. permitting non-standard base-pairing at the 3rd anti-codon position. The record is from Rfam by way of RNAcentral. Lineage: Eukaryota; Viridiplantae; Streptophyta; Magnoliopsida; Rosales; Moraceae.